This 64-nucleotide transfer RNA is filed under the name unidentified. RNAcentral's name for it is "Leptomias sp. DX-2020 tRNA-Phe". It matches the Rfam family "tRNA". Rfam says of the family: Transfer RNA (tRNA) molecules are approximately 80 nucleotides in length. Their secondary structure includes four short double-helical elements and three loops (D, anti-codon, and T loops). Further hydrogen bonds mediate the characteristic L-shaped molecular structure. tRNAs have two regions of fundamental functional importance: the anti-codon, which is responsible for specific mRNA codon recognition, and the 3' end, to which the tRNAs corresponding amino acid is attached (by aminoacyl-tRNA synthetases). tRNAs cope with the degeneracy of the genetic code in two manners: having more than one tRNA (with a specific anti-codon) for a particular amino acid; and 'wobble' base-pairing, i.e. permitting non-standard base-pairing at the 3rd anti-codon position. The record is from RNAcentral.
ACUUAUAUAGCUUAAUUAGAGCAUAGCAUUGAAGAUGCUAAGGUAAUUUUAAAAUUUAUAGGUA